This 870-nucleotide ribosomal RNA is filed under the name uncultured archaeon. RNAcentral describes it as "bacterial SSU rRNA". It matches the Rfam family "Archaeal small subunit ribosomal RNA", at positions 1 to 880 of the family's 1478-position model. The record is from RNAcentral.
CUCCGGUUGAUCCCGCCGGACCUGACUGCUAUCGGAUUGGUACUAAGCCAUGCGAGUCGUUGUAGCAAUACAAGGCGGACGGCUCAGUAACACGUAGUCAACCUAACCUAUGGACGUGGAUAACCUCGGGAAACUGAGAAUAAACCGCGAUAGAUCAUUAUGCCUGGAAUGGCUUAUGGUUCAAACAAUUUAUUGCCGUAGGAUGGGACUGCGGCCUAUCAGCUUGUUGGUGAGGUAAUGGCCCACCAAGGCUAUAACAGGUACGGGCUCUGAGAGGAGAAGCCCGGAGAUGGGUACUGAGACACGGACCCAGGCCCUAUGGGGCGCAGCAGGCGAGAAACCUUAGCAAUGUGCGAAAGCACGACUAGGUUAAUCCGAGUGAUUUCUGUUGAAGAAAUCUUUUGUCAGUCGUAAAACCACAGACGAAUAAGGGGUGGGCAAGUCUGGUGUCAGCCGCCGCGGUAAUACCAGCACCUCGAGUGGUCAGGAGGUUUAUUGGGCCUAAAGCAUCCGUAGCCGGCUACGCAAGUCUCCGGUUAAAUCCAGCUGCUCAACAGAUGGGCUGCCGGAGAUACUACAUAGCUAGGGAGCGGGAGAGGUAGACGGUAUUCUGUGGGUAGGGGUAAAAUCCACUGAUCCAUAGAGGACCACCAGUGGCGAAGGCGGUCUACCAGAACGCGUUCGACGGUGAGGGAUGAAAGCUGGGGGAGCAAACCGGAUUAGAUACCCGGGUAGUCCCAGCUGUAAACGAUGCAAACUCGGUGAUGCAUUGGCUUAUGGCCAAUGCAGUGCCGCAGGGAAGCCGUUAAGUUUGCCGCCUGGGAAGUACGGACGCAAGUCUGAAACUUAAAGGAAUUGGCGGGGGACACA